RNAcentral lists this ribosomal RNA (458 nucleotides) under uncultured bacterium. RNAcentral's name for it is "partial 16S ribosomal RNA". It matches the Rfam family "Bacterial small subunit ribosomal RNA", at positions 338 to 795 of the family's 1533-position model. The record is from RNAcentral.
CCUACGGUGCGCUGCAGUGGGGAAUAUUGCACAAUGGGGGAAACCCUGAUGCAGCGACGCCGCGUGAGUGAAGAAGUAUUUCGGUAUGUAAAGCUCUAUCAGCAGGGAAGACAUAGCGACCUUUGGGUCGCCAGACGGUACCUGAUUAAGCAGCCCCGGCUAACUACGUGCCAGCAGCCGCGGUACUACGUAGGGGGCAAGCGUUAUCCGCAUUUACUGGGUGUAAAGGGAGCGUAGACGGCAGCGCAAGUCUGAAGGGAACUGCCGGGGCUUAACCCCGGAACUGCUUUGGAAACUGUGCAGCUAGAGUGCAGGAGAGGUAAGUGGAAUUCCUAGUGUAGCGGUGAAAUGCGGAGAUAUUAGGAGGAACACCAGUGGCGAAGGCGGCUUACUGGACUGUAACUGACGCUCAUGCACGAAAGUGUGGGUAUCGAACAGGAUUAGAUACCCCUGUAGUC